RNAcentral lists this transfer RNA (60 nucleotides) under Dipodomys ordii (Ord's kangaroo rat). It matches the Rfam family "tRNA", at positions 7 to 64 of the family's 71-position model. From Rfam's summary of the family: Transfer RNA (tRNA) molecules are approximately 80 nucleotides in length. Their secondary structure includes four short double-helical elements and three loops (D, anti-codon, and T loops). The record is from Rfam by way of RNAcentral. Lineage: Eukaryota; Metazoa; Chordata; Mammalia; Rodentia; Heteromyidae.
GUAAUUCAGUGGUAGAGUGCUUGCCUUGCAUGCAUGAGGUCCUGGGUUCGAUUCCUCAGC